GACGAACGCUGGCGGCGUGCUUAACACAUGCAAGUCGAACGGAAAGGCCCUGCUUUUGUGGGGUGCUCGAGUGGCGAACGGGUGAGUAACACGUGAGUAACCUGCCCUUGACUUUGGGAUAACUUCAGGAAACUGGGGCUAAUACCGGAUAGGAGCUCCUGCUGCAUGGUGGGGGUUGGAAAGUUUCGGCGGUUGGGGAUGGACUCGCGGCUUAUCAGCUUGUUGGUGGGGUAGUGGCUUACCAAGGCUUUGACGGGUAGCCGGCCUGAGAGGGUGACCGGCAACAUUGGGACUGAGAUACGGCACAGACUCCUACGGGAGGCAGCAGUGGGGAAUAUUGCACAAUGGGCGGAAGCCUGAUGCAGCAACGCCGCGUGCGGGAUGACGGCCUUCGGGUUGUAAACCGCUUUCGCCUGUGACGAAGCGUGAGUGACGGUAAUGGGUAAAGAAGCACCGGCUAACUACGU
This 467-nucleotide ribosomal RNA is filed under the name uncultured bacterium. RNAcentral describes it as "partial 16S ribosomal RNA". It matches the Rfam family "Bacterial small subunit ribosomal RNA", at positions 28 to 506 of the family's 1533-position model. The record is from RNAcentral.